GCACUCCAGUCUGGGUAACAAGAGCGAAACUCCAUCUCAAAAAAACAAAAAACAUAUAGAGCAAAAAGGGUAGGAUGAAUAUCUGGGGAUACGGGAUGGAUUUAGUAAGUAGCGGUACUCCCUUGAAAAUUUCUGAGCAGGGAAUGACAUGAUUUGAGAGACACAUUUCAGGAAAAUUAGCAGUGAUGUUGGGUGGGUUGGCAGUGAGAACAUCAGGGUAUUAUUUUGCUAAUCUGAGCAAGAUCAAUAUAUCAGGUGAACCAGAGCUCAGAUAGUAGCAUGCAAAUUCAGAGAAAGAGAUGGGGAGGACAGGCAUAGUAAAAGCUGAAUCUAUACAUCUUGGCUAUUGCAUAACUGAUGGGAGGACCUGGAGAGGGAGAAACCAGAAGUGACCUCCAAGCUUUGGUGUAUCAGUGACAAAAAGACGGUGGACAUGCCUGCUGAAAGAAGGCUGGCCAGAGAAACAGCAGCUUUGAGGCAAAAUAUACUCAACCUGUUAUUUAAACCGCAUUUUAUUUUUCAUGAACUAGACUUUUUAGAACUAGGAUUUAGAGUUUCUAAUCAAAGUAUAUCUAUUCACAUUCAAUUUUGGAAAGCUUAAAACAUUGAUAAAGUUCCACACUUUCAAAAUAGAAAACAUAAGCAACAGAAUUGCAUUUCCUGAUAAGCACAAUUAUCCUAGAGACAGAAGUUGAAAGAGCAGCUGAGAGUCACCUAGCAAGUCAUUAAACAACUGGUUUGCACAUAUUCAUAGUUCCUACCCCAGGGCCAGCUUCAAACCAUAGGCCAGAUUCAAACCAUAUUUCCUACCCCAGGGCCAGCUUCAAACCCUGUUAGGGUGGAGAAACUGUUUGCAAAGGCAACAUGGCAUUUUCAGGUAAAACUUCUAUCCUCUUCUCCCUUCGGUUACAUAAUCAAUAAGCUGCCUAUGCCCUCAUCCACUGCCAAGUUGUAGGUUGUUCAGAUUUCUACUGGACCAUGAAGUCAAAAGCCAAGCCUUCUCUUACUAUAGACUGUUUCCAGGGUUUUCCAUCAUUGAAUGGAAAUGGCUGCCUGGUUUAAUAGCAGGAUGGAAUAUUUGCAGUGGAGAGACACAGCAUUAAAACAUGUGAGCAUGGCAUGGACUGGAGAGAUCUGGAGAGAAAAGAAAACAGAUAGGACCCAGGGAGGCAGCUUUUCAGCAGAAGACUGGCACAUACAAAAGUAAAGAUACUGAAGUUAUUCAUGUAGCCCCUAACAUGGCAUUUUCAAGUCAGGAUGAAGCUUUUUUGUAAAGCUCAUUUGUAAAAAAUACUAAAUUGAAGGAUAAGUUUGAUAAGAACUGUAGGGGUUUACUAUUUAUUCUCACAUUAAGAAUUUAUAAAACUUGAAACAAUCAAAGAAAGACCUACUUUUUGUUUAUUGGUGACACACCAGAUUGAGGUUUGUAAUCCUGCUUAUAUCCCUAGGCACAUGCCUGUGAGUUUCUGUCUGUAGGUGCACAGGGUCAGGCUCUCCCACGUAACUGCCUUCUUCGCUAGAGACUACCAGCUGAAGUUGGCAAUUACCAAGACUUUCCUCUUUGUCUCCAUAAGAGACACAUUCCAGUAAUAAGGCCUAACUAGCACCUUAAAAAUCUGAUUCAGUGCGUCUACUUGAACAAAAUUUCUAAUUUCAGCAGUAGCUACUUCUUUGUAGCCUUCAUUUACCCUGGCUUCCAGAAAGAAGUUGCAUAGGAACACAUGACCUCAUUCUAGAGCAUUUGACUUAUUCAAUUCACAGAAUUUUAUGGAGGACAUACAAUAAGCAGGCCCUGUGUUAUUGUAUGAUCCUGGGAAAUGAGAGAUGGCAAAACAGGCCCUUACACCAAGGACUAUCCAGCAUCUAAGGAUCUCCCAGUCCAGUGGGAAAAGAGAGGAUAAUGAGUUGGAAUAUUGUAAAAGUACUAGGACUACAUCUGCUAUAGGAAUACCCAGAAGGAAUGACUACCCUGAUGAAAACUUCCUGGAGAAAGAUGAGUUUUGAGGAUAUGCAGAAAGUGGCUAAAAGGAGAGUGUGAGGAAAGGUAUUCUGUGCAGAGAGAGUAAUAGUACGUGCAAAGGCAUGAAGAAAGGCAGAGUAAACAUUUGAGGAUUCCUCUAGGUCCAGUGCAGAGAAAAAAAAUAAAAGGCAAAAGAUGUGUUUGCAGCAAUAGGCAGGAAGUAGAUCACAAAGGACUUUGAUUUCAACUAGGACAUUUUCAGCAGCAGAAGGGCAUGGCUGACUUUGCCUUUUAGAAUGGUCCUUCUGGCUAUGAAGAAUGGAUUGGAUGGGAGCAAUUCUUGGGAAGAGAAGAUCACCUAGAGGCCAUUCUUCACCUGAGAAAUGAUAAGUGUCUGAGCUCAGGUAGAGGUAGGGAUAGGGAGUGGGUGUGUUUGAGUGACAGUAAAAAAGCUGAAUCCAUAGGCUUUGAAGACUGAUUAAGGUAAAGAUGUAAGAGCUGAAGAGAGGGAGAGAUCAGGAAGGUGCUGCCAGGUGGGUGGUGUGGACAUUUAAUGAGAUAAGAUAGAAAAGGAGGGGCAGAAUGGGAGUGGGGAAUGAUGAUCCCACGUGGACACAAAUCACAACUAUAUGGGCUUAGAGCUCAGGAACGAGGCCUGGGUUGGAGACAAGGAUUUGUUAGUCAUCACCAUAUGUGAAGCAAUUGACACCAUAGGAAACAGUGGCCCAUCCAGAGAGAGUCUGAAAACAGAAAAGGGCCCAGUUAUGUUAGUUAGUUACCCAGUUAUGAAGAAUCUUUGAAUUUUUUGAACAGAAAGCAUCUCGGGUAUAUUUCUUAUAAUUAUAGUUCUAUGUCAUGUCAUAUCUAAAAAUCAUGAAAUGGAUUAUCCUUUUAGAUUUGUCCUUUUAGAUUUUUGAAAGCUUCAAUUUAGGUUCUUGUACAGGGUAUUUGCUAUAAAGCUUAAAUGUAUUCAACAUAUUUUAAUUUCUUGGCCUUCUGAUAGGGCUUGAUAUGUUCUAAGGUGAGAGGGGACUGUCAUUUUUUUUUUUUUUUUUUUUGCCUACAGCUUUGCAUGUUGUAACAAGACUUCUUUAUCAAAGAGUUUAUUGAUGUUCAGUGUAAGCAUGUUUUAGAAGGGUAGGCUUUACUGGUACUGAAAACUGAAGGUUUUCUGGCCAUGGAGAGAAAACCAGAUUUCUCAUGGUAGACUAAUGGUUUUGUCUCCUGAGUUGGCAGGACGUGGACGUGCCAGGAAGACACGGCAUUCUGGCUUCCCAGCAGGGAAGGGGGAGCUCAUGUUAAUGGGCAGUGAGACCCGUCAGGCCUAUCUGGAAUGACAUUCCUAGAGUCCAGGCCAGAGCUCCCAUUAGAUAUGGUGAGGUGAAGCCCAUGGCACAGGAAAAGGGGAGUUAUGUAAGGUUUUCAAGAAGGCGCUUGUUGGACCAGACACCCAGAUGGUGGUGUCACAGAGCACAAAGGCAAAUGGCACGUGUGUGGCACUGGGAAGGCUAGUGCUGAGAGGCAACAGGGCAACUAGCAUUUAAGAGCUUGUUAAGAUUUAGUCAAUGUGCAUGUAAAUAAUUAAGUCGAUAAGAAAAGCUUAAAGUGAUUUUUAAUGGAAAAAAGAAAGACGGUAAUCAUCACUUUAUUUUUGGAUGUGUGUUUCUACAAUUGGUUUAGCGUGAAGAGAAAACUGAAGUCCUAAAUUCCACAUUCUGCCUGAAGAUAUCUUUUUGUCCAUGCAGAGUGAAGUCUGCAUUCUCUCUUGUGAGCUAGAAAGUUAGACAGGGCUGAAAUGGUCUCUGAAUGUUAAAUCCAUUUUUUGUGGAUGUGCGAGUCCUGAGUCUUGUCACACAUUGUCUUUGUCUUUGUUAUUUGGCCUAUUAUAACUGCAGUGGUGUCUUUUGAGGGUUUGUAUUAUGAAUAAAAGGUAGAUACUGGACCAGUGUCUCGGAGAUUUACCUGCUUAUUAUUUUUUUUCCCUUUUGGUCUUGUCAUAGCUGGAAGGUAUCAUCCUAAAACAUUUUGUGAGAAUGAGAAUUAUUGGUAUUUACUCUCUCCAUGUCAUAUGUAUUUAUAUUCUGGUCUUGUGACAUUCACACAACCUCCAAUUUAUUUGUUUUCUUCUUUUUGUUGUCAACAGAGCUGCUUGACAGGGUUGUCUGGGGAAUACAACCUUACCCUGUCAAAUGCCUUUCAAUGUUUUUCUUCUCCUUCCUUACCCCCGUUUCAUCGUGUACCUGCAAUGGGACUCUAUUUCUGAUAUUAGAAAACCACCCAAUGGAACUGAUAAAAAUGAGUUGGAACUUGUGACCAGCAGCUGGAUGAGAGGAGUGUGAAUCCCCCAAAUCUUAUGGAUAUAGUGUGCUUUCUUUGAUGUUCCUGCCAAAGUGAGGCUGGAAAGCUAGGAAGAUCUGUAAGACGUGUGCCAGCACAAAGUGACUACAAUUCAAAAGUUCCAAAAACCUUGCUUGAAACAAUUGCAAAUAGCUCAUCAUUUUAAACCAGUGAACCCAAGGCUGAGUGUUUCAUCAAUUUACAGAAAACCAAGAAGAGAAAUCUGACAGCUAUCCCAGUGUAUGACUUACCAUGGAGAUCUUCAAAUAGAAUCACUUUGGUUUGGGUCUCAUUUUCAUAUUAUAACACAAAUUUGUGUAUGUGGGUUAAGAUUCAUAUUUGAUAGGAACUGCUGGGAAUUCUUGCAGUUAUAUCCUCAAAAGACAAAAUAAGCAUAACCAACAGAAUUGUGAAGCAAUAAAGUUGAUUAUGGAUGAAAACUGGGCUGAACAGUCAUAGGACAUGACUUGUUCCUUUGACCUAAAAUGUGCUUUUCUUUCCUUAUCUACCCAGUGUAAUGGUACUACUCUUUCAACCAUCUUGAAUUCACUCACACUUAUUCGUCAAAUCCUGCUCAGCUAUUCCCACUACCCACAAAGUGUACCUUUUUCGUAUUCCUUACUUUUUAUACAUUAGCUCAUUUUCCCCCAAACAAUGCAAUAAAGUAAAAAAUAUUACUCUAUUUUAUAGAAACUUGCAGCUCAGAAAGGAUAAGAAACUUGCAAGUUGAUCCAAAAUAAAUUUCUAAAAAGCA
Molecule: long non-coding RNA, 5051 nt
Filed under: Homo sapiens (human)
Lineage: Eukaryota; Metazoa; Chordata; Mammalia; Primates; Hominidae
Description: HSALNT0367295
Source: RNAcentral